RNAcentral lists this ribosomal RNA (492 nucleotides) under uncultured bacterium. RNAcentral's name for it is "partial 16S ribosomal RNA". It matches the Rfam family "Bacterial small subunit ribosomal RNA", at positions 29 to 507 of the family's 1533-position model. The record is from RNAcentral.
AGUGAACGCUGGCGGUAGGCCUAACACAUGCAAGUCGAACGGCAGCACAGUAAGAGCUUGCUCUUACGGGUGGCGAGUGGCGGACGGGUGAGGAAUACAUCGGAAUCUACUUUUUCGUGGGGGAUGACGUAGGGAAACUUACGCUAAUACCGCAUACGACCUACGGGUGAAAGCAGGGGAUCUUCGGACCUUGCGCGAUUGAAUGAGCCGAUGUCGGAUUAGCUAGUUGGCGGGGUAAAGGCCCACCAAGGCGACGAUCCGUAGCUGGUCUGAGAGGAUGAUCAGCCACACUGGAACUGAGACACGGUCCAGACUCCUACGGGAGGCAGCAGUGGGGAAUAUUGGACAAUGGGCGCAAGCCUGAUCCAGCCAUACCGCGUGGGUGAAGAAGGCCUUCGGGUUGUAAAGCCCCUUUGUUGGGAAAGAAAAGCAGCAGGUUAAUACCCCGCUGUUCUGACGGUACCCAAAGAAUAAGCACCGGCUAACUUCGUG